This 400-nucleotide ribosomal RNA is filed under the name uncultured bacterium. RNAcentral's name for it is "bacterial SSU rRNA". It matches the Rfam family "Bacterial small subunit ribosomal RNA", at positions 356 to 773 of the family's 1533-position model. The record is from RNAcentral.
AGGGAAUAUUGGACAAUGGGCGAAAGCCUGAUCCAGCAAUGCCGCGUGAGUGAUGAAGGCCUUAGGGUUGUAAAGCUCUUUUACCCGAGAUGAUAAUGACAGUAUCGGGAGAAUAAGCUCCGGCUAACUCCGUGCCAGCAGCCGCGGUAAUACGGAGGGAGCUAGCGUUGUUCGGAAUUACUGGGCGUAAAGCGCACGUAGGCGGCGAUCUAAGUCAGAGGUGAAAGCCUGGAGCUCAACUCCAGAACUGCCUUUGAGACUGGAUUGCUAGAAUCCGGGAGAGGUGAGUGGAAUUCCGAGUGUAGAGGUGAAAUUCGUAGAUAUUCGGAAGAACACCAGUGGCGAAGGCGGCUCACUGGACCGGCAGUGACGCUGAGGUGCGAAAGCGUGGGGAGCAAAC